Long non-coding RNA from Papaver somniferum (opium poppy), 392 nucleotides. RefSeq lists it as uncharacterized. NCBI's taxonomy places the organism in Eukaryota, Viridiplantae, Streptophyta, Magnoliopsida, Ranunculales, Papaveraceae. The record is from RefSeq and is a predicted model, not a curated record. The transcript is spliced from 3 exons.
AAAUAGCUCGUAAGAUGCCUGAAAGAACUGAUAAUGAGAUAAAGAACUAUUGGAGAACUCAUCUGCGGAAGAAAACACAAAUUGAAGAACAAGGAUAUGCGACACGGAAAAGUGCAGGAAGGGUUCUAAUCCGUGUUGGGCAUUUCAGAUGCAAAAAGAGCUUGUUUAUUACCUUUAGUUGUCCAAGGUACAAUCAAAGGUAAGAAGUCAGGUAUCCAGCUGUACUCGAGAUCUUUCAAAGAAAGAGAUAGGGCCACUUCUUAAACUUUGCAACCAGGCACCAAAAGAUGUGCGAUGAAAUGCUGUGAAAUCAUCUAAGUCUCUGGGAGGGGUUCCAAGAAGUCACACAACAACAACUGAGAAUGUACUAUAAGAUUCUUGGAUUCGUCAAU